UCGUCACGAAAUCACGAAGAUCAUUUUUAGAUUUCACGAGUCAUGAAAAACAAAAUUUCAUUUUCACGAUUUUUAGAAACACAGAAGCGUAACAAAGUCUGAAACCAUUUAACGAUUUUCUAGACAGCAGAAAUCGAUGUUAACACAAACACAUUUUGCUGACUUUAACAUUAGAGCUUUUAAAGGAGUAUGGAAAUCAUUGCGAGGCAUUACGAAACAUUACGAGCGUCUUACGAUGGUUCACGAAAUCUAUGAAGAGGUACGAAGGUAUACGACAACGACGUUUACGAUGAAACCUCAAGAAAGACAACCGCGGGAAGCAAAUUUAUUCAUUUUUU
RNAcentral lists this long non-coding RNA (338 nucleotides) under Paramuricea clavata. The record is from RNAcentral. Lineage: Eukaryota; Metazoa; Cnidaria; Anthozoa; Malacalcyonacea; Plexauridae.